GUGCGAGACCGAUAGCGAACAAGUACCGUGAGGGAAAGAUGAAAAGAACUUUGAAAAGAGAGUUAAAGAGUACCUGAAACUGCUGAAAGGGAACCGAAUCGUAUCCAGUGUCUAUAAUCCAUGGCAUAUUUCAUUGGCGAGUGAGUGCGUGCAGCGUUUUGGAAGUGGUUUUCCGCUCCUGUCGUUGUUGUGCAUUUGCUUGCUGGUGCCCUGUGCUGUGGUGGGACGUCAGAGUCAGUUUGUGUGUCGCGGGAAAUGGUUAUUGGGGAGGUAGGUCGCUUCGGUGGCUAUUAUAUCCUGGUAACUAGUCGUCGUGGCUGAGACUGAGGUGCCUAC
This 336-nucleotide ribosomal RNA is filed under the name uncultured Oomycota. Its description in RNAcentral is "eukaryotic LSU rRNA". It matches the Rfam family "Eukaryotic large subunit ribosomal RNA", at positions 326 to 634 of the family's 3401-position model. The record is from RNAcentral. Lineage: Eukaryota; Oomycota.